This 489-nucleotide ribosomal RNA is filed under the name uncultured bacterium. RNAcentral's name for it is "bacterial SSU rRNA". It matches the Rfam family "Bacterial small subunit ribosomal RNA", at positions 8 to 518 of the family's 1533-position model. The record is from RNAcentral.
AGAGUUUGAUCAUGGCUCAGAACGAACGCUGGCGGCAUGGAUUAGGCAUGCAAGUCGAACGGUGCAGCAAUGCAUAGUGGCGCAAGGGUGAGGAACGCGUGAGUAAUCUGCCCUCAAGUUGGGAACAGCUUCUGGAAACGGAAAUUAAUACCGAAUGUGAUCUCAGGGAGGCAUCUUUCUGGGAUUAAAGGCCGCAAGGUCGCUUGAGGAGGGGCUCGCGUCCCAUUAUGCUAGUUGGUGAGGUAACGGCCCACCAAGGCGAAGAUGGGUAGCUGGUCAGAGAGGACGAUCAGCCACACUGGGACUGAGAACUGCCCAGACUCCUACGGGAGGCUGCAGUCGAGAAUUUUGGGCAAUGGACGAAAGUCUGACCCAAGCAAUGCCGCGUGCGGGAUGAAGGUCUUCGGAUUGUAAACCGCUGUCAAGUGGGACGAAACAAAUGACGGUACCGCUGAAGGAAGUCACGGCUAACUACGUGCCAGCCGCCGC